UACAGGGGGGGCAAGCGUUGUUCGGAAUUACUGGGCGUAAAGGGUCUGUAGGUGGCUUGCUAAGUCAGACGUGAAAUCCCUCAGCUUAACUGGGGAACUGCGUCUGAUACUGGCGGGCUUGAAUUCGGGAGAGGGAUGCGGAAUUCCAGGUGUAGCGGUGAAAUGCGUAGAUAUCUGGAGGAACACCGGUGGCGAAGGCGGCAUCCUGGACCGAGAUUGACGCUGAUGCGCGAAAGCCAGGGGAGCAAACGGG
This 253-nucleotide ribosomal RNA is filed under the name uncultured bacterium. RNAcentral's name for it is "partial 16S ribosomal RNA". It matches the Rfam family "Bacterial small subunit ribosomal RNA", at positions 524 to 776 of the family's 1533-position model. The record is from RNAcentral.